CCUACGGGUUGCACCAGUGGGGAAUAUUGCGCAAUGGGCGCAAGCCUGAUGCAGCCAUGCCGCGUGUAUGAAGAAGGCCUUCGGGUUGUAAAGUACUUUCAGCGAGGAGGAAGGCAUUAAGGUUAAUAACCUUGGUGAUUGACGUUUCUCGCAGAAGAAGCACCGGCUAACUCCGUGCCAGCAGCCGCGGUAAUACGGAGGGUGCAAGCGUUAAUCGGAAUUACUGGGCGUAAAGCGCACGCAGGCGGUCUGUCAAGUCGGAUGUGAAAUCCCCGGGCUCAACCUGGGAACUGCAUUCGAAACUGGCAGGCUAGAGUCUUGUAGAGGGGGGUAGAAUUCCAGGUGUAGCGGUGAAAUGCGUAGAGAUCUGGAGGAAUACCGGUGGCGAAGGCGGCCCCCUGGACAAAGAAUGACGCUCAGGUGCGAAAGCGUGGGGAGCAAACAGGAUUAGAUACCCCAGUAGUC
Molecule: ribosomal RNA, 465 nt
Filed under: uncultured bacterium
Lineage: Bacteria
Description: bacterial SSU rRNA
Rfam family: Bacterial small subunit ribosomal RNA
Source: RNAcentral